Molecule: ribosomal RNA, 445 nt
Filed under: uncultured bacterium
Lineage: Bacteria
Description: partial 16S ribosomal RNA
Rfam family: Bacterial small subunit ribosomal RNA
Source: RNAcentral
GUAGGGAAUAUUGGGCAAUGGAUGCAAGUCUGACCCAGCCAUCCCGCGUGCCGGAAGAAGGCCCUCAGGGUUGUAAACGGCUUUUGACGGUGAAGAAUCGACAGGAUGCAUCCUGUUUUGACGGUAGCCGUUGAAUAAGCACCGGCUAACUCCGUGCCAGCAGCCGCGGUAAUACGGAGGGUGCGAGCGUUGUCCGGAGUUAUUGGGUUUAAAGGGUGCGUAGGCUGGAGGGUCAGUCAGCGGUGAAAAGCUGUCGCUGAACGAUAGUCUUGCCGCAGAUACUUCGUUUCUUGGAUGAGGAGGAGGCCACUGGAACGGAUGGUGUAGCGGUGAAAUGCAUAGAUAUCAUCCAGAACACCGAUUGCGAAGGCAGGUGGCUGUACCUUAAUCGACGCUGAUGCACGAAAGCAUGGGGAGCAAACAGGAUUAGAAACCCUUGUAGUCC